CUGAUCCAGGACCAUCUCAGUG
RNAcentral lists this microRNA (22 nucleotides) under Oreochromis niloticus (Nile tilapia). Its description in RNAcentral is "oni-miR-10856". The record is from miRBase by way of RNAcentral. Lineage: Eukaryota; Metazoa; Chordata; Actinopteri; Cichliformes; Cichlidae.